AGAGUUAAAUAGUACGUGAAAUUGUUGAAAGGGAAACGAUUGAAGUCAGUCAUGCCGGUGGGAAUCAACUUAGAGGAAACUCUGGGUGCACUUCUUCGCUUGGCAGGUCAACGUCGAUUUUGGAUGUCAUAAAAUGAUUGGGGGAAGGUAGCUCCUUCGGGAGUGUUAUAGCCCUUGGUAGAUGUGAUGUCCGGGAUCGAGGAUUGCAACGGAUACUCUUCGGGGCUAGCCGCCUGAUCUCUAAUCGGUGUUGGGUUACGGAUAGCAUGCUGACCGUGAUUUAAUUACUGGUUAAAAGGUUAGAGCGUGCAUAAAUUCGUUAAGGACAUUGACGUAAUGGCUUUAAACGA
This 350-nucleotide unclassified non-coding RNA is filed under the name uncultured Glomeromycotina. RNAcentral describes it as "sequence contains 28S rRNA gene". Lineage: Eukaryota; Fungi; Glomeromycota. The record is from RNAcentral.